RNAcentral lists this ribosomal RNA (445 nucleotides) under uncultured Sulfuricurvum sp. RNAcentral's name for it is "bacterial SSU rRNA". It matches the Rfam family "Bacterial small subunit ribosomal RNA", at positions 941 to 1382 of the family's 1533-position model. The record is from RNAcentral. Lineage: Bacteria; Pseudomonadati; Campylobacterota; Epsilonproteobacteria; Campylobacterales; Sulfurimonadaceae.
GUGGUUUAAUUCGAAGAUACACGAAGAACCUUACCUGGCCUUGACAUGGUAGGAACCCUUAAGAGAUUAGGGGGUGCUAGCUUGCUAGAACCUACACACAGGUGCUGCACGGCUGUCGUCAGCUCGUGUCGUGAGAUGUUGGGUUAAGUCCCGCAACGAGCGCAACCCUCGUCCUUAGUUGCUAACAGUUCGGCUGAGCACUCUAGGGAGACUGCCUUCGCAAGGAGGAGGAAGGUGAGGACGACGUCAAGUCAUCAUGGCCCUUACGGCCAGGGCUACACACGUGCUACAAUGGGGCGUACAGAGAGCUGCGAUACCGCGAGGUGGAGCCAAUCUCUUAAAGCGUCUCUCAGUUCGGAUUGUUCUCUGCAACUCGAGAACAUGAAGCUGGAAUCACUAGUAAUCGCAGGUCAGCUAUGCUGCGGUGAAUACGUUCCCGGGUCUU